This 253-nucleotide ribosomal RNA is filed under the name uncultured bacterium. Its description in RNAcentral is "partial 16S ribosomal RNA". It matches the Rfam family "Bacterial small subunit ribosomal RNA", at positions 524 to 776 of the family's 1533-position model. The record is from RNAcentral.
UACAGAGGGUGCGAGCGUUAAUCGGAAUUACUGGGCGUAAAGCGCGCGUAGGCGGCUUUGCAAGUCGGGUGUGAAAUCCCCAGGCUUAACUUGGGAACUGCGUCUGAUACUGGGUGGCUUGAGUUCGGGAGAGGAAUGUGGAAUUCCAGGUGUAGCGGUGAAAUGCGUAGAUAUCUGGAGGAACACCGGUGGCGAAGGCGGCAUUCUGGACCGAAACUGACGCUGAGGCGCGAAAGCCAGGGGAGCAAACGGG